CGCCUGUUUUACCAAAAACAUCGCCUCUUGCAAAACAUAAGUAUAAGAGGUCCCGCCUGCCCAGUGACAAGAUAGUUUAACGGCCGCGGUAUUUUGACCGUGCAAAGGUAGCGUAAUCACUUGUCUUUUAAAUGAAGACCCGUAUGAAUGGCAUAACGAGGGCUUAACUGUCUCCUUCCCCCAGUCAAUGAAAUUGAUCUCCCCGUGCAGAAGCGGGGAUAAAAUCAUAAGACGAGAAGACCCUAUGGAGCUUUAGACGCAAAGACAGAUCAUGUCAAAUACACCUAGUUAUAGGCCUGAACUAAAUGAAACCAGUCUUGAUGUCUUCGGUUGGGGCGACCAUGGGGAACACAAAACCCCCACGUGGAACAGGAGUACACCCCUAUCUUUCCCACCUCCUACAAACUAGAGCAACAGCUCUAAUAAGCAGAAAUUCUGACCAAACUGAUCCGGCAACGCCGAUCAACGAAUCAAGUUACCCUAGGGAUAACAGCGCAAUCCCCUUUUAGAGCCCAUAUCGACAAGGGGGUUUACGACCUCGAUGUUGGAUCAGGACAUCCUAAUGGUGCAGCCGCUAUUAAGGGUUCGUUUGUUCAACGAUUAAAGUCCUACGUGAUCUGAGUUCAGACCGGA
This 633-nucleotide ribosomal RNA is filed under the name Paralichthys lethostigma (southern flounder). RNAcentral's name for it is "partial 16S ribosomal RNA". It matches the Rfam family "Bacterial large subunit ribosomal RNA", at positions 1797 to 2620 of the family's 2925-position model. The record is from RNAcentral. Lineage: Eukaryota; Metazoa; Chordata; Actinopteri; Pleuronectiformes; Paralichthyidae.